Molecule: long non-coding RNA, 290 nt
Filed under: Elaeis guineensis (African oil palm)
Lineage: Eukaryota; Viridiplantae; Streptophyta; Magnoliopsida; Arecales; Arecaceae
Description: long non-coding RNA (EGUI_LNC033536)
Source: RNAcentral
UUUCAAACGCUUUCAAAUAGCUUCAAAUCAAUUGGACACUCUCAGAAGGCUUUGAAAACUUCUUCAACUUGCAGAAACUUUAAUUUUGGUACAGUUGAUGAAGCUUUUCAAAUCCAACCUUUUGAACUACUUGAAAUAUCAUAAAAAAAUUCUUCAAAGAUAAGAAACAUAUUAGUAGUCCUUUCAAAUGAUUUGCGAUCAUCAAAAUCAAUUCUUGGAGCAACAAAUACAAACUCAUGGUCAAAAAUUAAGUGACGAUAAUAUUAAGUCCUACAAAAAUAAAUACAACC